This 858-nucleotide ribosomal RNA is filed under the name uncultured organism. RNAcentral's name for it is "bacterial SSU rRNA". It matches the Rfam family "Bacterial small subunit ribosomal RNA", at positions 25 to 885 of the family's 1533-position model. The record is from RNAcentral.
CAGGAUGAACGCUAGCGGCAGGCCUAACACAUGCAAGCCGAGGGGUAAGUCUCUUUCGGGAGAACACGACCGGCGCACGGGUGAGUAACGCGUAUGCAACCUACCUUUGGCACGGGGACAGCCCGGGGAAACCCGGAUUAAUACCCGGUAUAGUCUGUUAUACACCUGUAUAAAAGACGAGAGCUACGGCGGCCAAAGAUGGGCAUGCGUGCCAUUAGUUAGUUGGUAGGGUAACGGCCUACCAAGGCAUCGAUGGCUACGGGGUCUAAAAGGAUGAGCCCGCACACUGGUACUGAGACACGGACCAGACUCCUACGGGAGGCAGCAGUGAGGAAUAUUGGUCAAUGGGUGGAAGCCUGAACCAGCCAUGCCGCGUGCAGGAAGACGGCCUUAUGGGUUGUAAACUGCUUUUCUACGGGACGAACGGCUCUGACGUGUCAGAGAUUGACGGUACCGUAGGAAUAAGCAUCGGCUAACUCCGUGCCAGCAGCCGCGGUAAUACGGAGGAUGCGAGCGUUAUCCGGAUUUAUUAGGUUUAAAGGGUGCGUAGGCUGGGCAAUAAGUCAGUGGUGAAAGUCCGCGGCUCAACCGUGGGAUUGCCAUUGAAACUGUUGUUCUUGAGUACAGUCGAGGUAGGCGGAAUGUGUAAUGUAGCGGUGAAAUGCAUAGAUAUUACCCAGAACACCGAUUGCGUAGGCAGCUUACCAGCCUGGAACUGACGCUGAUGCACGAAAGCGUGGGGAGCGAACAGGAUUAGAUACCCUGGUAGUCCACGCCGUAAACGAUGAUCACUCGCUGUUGGCAAUAUAGAGUCAGCGGCUGAGCGAAAGCAUUAAGUGAUCCACCUGGGGAGUACGU